GUGGGGAAUAUUGGACAAUGGGCGAAAGCCUGAUCCAGCCAUGCCGCGUGUGUGAAGAAGGUCUUCGGAUUGUAAAGCACUUUAAGUUGGGAGGAAGGGCAGUAAGUUAAUACCUUGCUGUUUUGACGUUACCGACAGAAUAAGCACCGGCUAACUUCGUGCCAGCAGCCGCGGUAAUACGAAGGGUGCAAGCGUUAAUCGGAAUUACUGGGCGUAAAGCGCGCGUAGGUGGUUUUGUAAGUUGGAGGUGAAAUCCCCGGGCUCAACCUGGGAACUGCCUCCAAAGCUGCAUGACUAGAGUACGGUAGAGGGUAGUGGAAUUUCCUGUGUAGCGGUGAAAUGAGUAGAUAUAGGAAGGAACACCAGUGGCGAAGGCGGCUACCUGGACUGAUACUGACACUGAGGUGCGAAAGCGUGGGGAGCAAACAGGAUUAGAAACCCCGGUAGUCC
RNAcentral lists this ribosomal RNA (450 nucleotides) under uncultured bacterium. RNAcentral describes it as "partial 16S ribosomal RNA". It matches the Rfam family "Bacterial small subunit ribosomal RNA", at positions 354 to 796 of the family's 1533-position model. The record is from RNAcentral.